Molecule: ribosomal RNA, 456 nt
Filed under: uncultured Sphingobacteriales bacterium
Lineage: Bacteria; Pseudomonadati; Bacteroidota; Sphingobacteriia; Sphingobacteriales
Description: bacterial SSU rRNA
Rfam family: Bacterial small subunit ribosomal RNA
Source: RNAcentral
ACAAGCGGAGGAGCAUGUGGUUUAAUUCGAUGAUACGCGAGGAACCUUACCUGGGCUCGAACGUAAGAUGACUGUAGGUGAAAGCUUACAUCUCUUCGGAGCAUUUUACGAGGUGCUGCAUGGUUGUCGUCAGCUCGUGCCGUGAGGUGCCGGGUUAAGUCCCAUAACGAGCGCAACCCUACCUUUAGUUGCCAUCAGGUAAUGCUGGGGACUCUAAAGGAACUGCCUACGCAAGUAGUGAGGAAGGCGGGGAUGGCGUCAAAUCAGCACGGCCCUUACGUCCAGGGCUACACACGUGCUACAAUGGCCGAUACAGAGGGCAGCUACCUGGUGACAGGAUGCAAAUCUCCAAAGUCGGUCUCAGUUCGGAUCGGAGUCUGCAACCCGACUCCGUGAAGUUGGAUUCGCUAGUAAUCGCGCAUCAGCCAUGGCGCGGUGAAUACGUUCCCGGGCCUU